This 825-nucleotide long non-coding RNA is filed under the name Equus caballus (horse). Its description in RNAcentral is "lncRNA (ENSECAG00000045215.1)". The record is from RNAcentral. Lineage: Eukaryota; Metazoa; Chordata; Mammalia; Perissodactyla; Equidae.
GUUAAUUCAUUGCUUGCCCACAUGUUGCGGUACUGGCUUCCAGGAAUACUUCUCUCAUCCACUGGGCUGACUCACCAGGGGAGGUGAUCAGAAAGAGCAAGGCCAGGGGUGGUACCACAUUAUGAACUUGUCCUGGAGCGCCCAACCGCCAGAAGCAUGUGGACAGUGGAGGAGGAGGAAUCAGGUUUGAAUAUACAGGGCCAGAAGCUAGUCUGUAGACAAUUCUUCCAAUUAGCAAAACUAAAAUUUUAAGCAGCAAAUUCAGUUCUCAUCAUGCCUUAUCAAAAAUGCAGCAUUUUUUUCUAUCAGAAAUAAGUGGAUAAUGCAGCAUGUAAAGUUAUCCGUGUAUUGUAUUAUUUUGUAUUACCGUAUUAUUUUGUGUGAUAAGAAUCACACAAAUAGAAUUUGUAAGAAUUCCUGUAUUUGUAGGGUACAACACUACAGUGUUUCUACAAACAGCGAGUUCUUCCGUGUGUGAAUCCACAUUUUAUGUGUCCCAACAAAUUAAGACAGAAUCUUAUCUUAUCUGAUGCAUCUCAUCAUCGUGAAGUCUGGCAGUUCCAGAAGAAAUAGCGCACAUGUCAAUGAAGCAAAAUGACCUGAAGAAGUGAUGAUGGAGAGCUGUACCCCCAUGUUUGAAAGAUGAAACACUUCCAUACCUCGGCAACGCUUUGGUCACACUCGACUCCAAGAACCAAGACAUUACCUCAAGACCUCUUGACUUCAACUGUGUAGUUGUGCUGUCAUGCAAAGGACGCUGGCCUCAGUUUCUCCAUCUAUCUGCAUGACGAGGGAAGUGGGCUAGAAGAUUCCCUCCGAGGUCCC